Molecule: ribosomal RNA, 1239 nt
Filed under: metagenome
Description: bacterial LSU rRNA
Rfam family: Bacterial large subunit ribosomal RNA
Source: RNAcentral
GUACCCGUACCCCAAACCGACACAGGUGGGUGGGUAGAGCAUACCUAGGGGCGCGUGGUAACUCUCUCUAAGGAACUCGGCAAAAUGGCCCUGUAACUUCGGGAUAAGGGGUGCCUGCGUGAGCAGGCCGCAGUGAAAUGGCUCUGGCGACUGUUUACCAAAAACACAGGUCUCUGCUAAGUCGUAAGACGAUGUAUAGGGGCUGACUCCUGCCCAGUGCCGGAAGGUUAAGGAAGUUGGUUAGCGCAAGCGAAGCUGGCGACCGAAGCCCCGGUGAACGGCGGCCGUAACUAUAACGGUCCUAAGGUAGCGAAAUUCCUUGUCGGGUAAGUUCCGACCCGCACGAAAGGAGUAACGAUCAGAGCGCUGUCUCGGAGAGAGACACGGCGAAAUAGGAUUGUCCGUGAAGAUACGGACUACCUGCACCCGGACAGAAAGACCCUAUGAAGCUUUACUGUAACUUGGAAUUGUGUUCGGACUUUGUCUGCGCAGAAUAGGUGGGAGGCUAUGAAACGUUCCUCGCGGGGAACUGGAGCCAUCGUUGAGAUACCACUCUGGCAGAGUCUGGAUUCUAACCUACGGGGACAGUUCCAGGUGGGCAGUUUGACUGGGGCGGUCGCCUCCUAAAAUGUAACGGAGGCGCGCAAAGGUUCCCUCAGGCUGGUUGGAAAUCAGCCAUAGAGUGUAAAAGCAUAAGGGAGCUUGACUGUGAGACCUACAAGUCGAGCAGGGACGAAAGUCGGCUUUAGUGAUCCGACGGCACUGAGUGGAAGGGCCGUCGCUCAACGGAUAAAAGUUACUCUAAGGAUAACAGGCUGAUCUCCCCCAAGAGUUCACAUCGACGGGGAGGUUUGGCACCUCGAUGUCGGCUCGUCGCAACCUGGGGCGGUAGUACGUCCCAAGGGUUGGGCUGUUCGCCCAUUAAAGCGGCACGUGAGCUGGGUUCAGAACGUCGUGAGACAGUUCGGUCCAUAUCCGGUGUAGGCGUAGGAGCAUUGAAAGGAUCUCUCCUUAGUACGAGAGGACCGGGAGGGACGUACCUCUGGUGUACCUGUUAUCGUGCCAACGGUAAACGCAGGGUAGCCAUGUACGGAGUGGAUAACCGCUGAAAGCAUCUAAGUGGGAAGCCCACCUUAAGAUGAGUGCUCCCUUGAGGCCACGGGAAGACGACCCGUUUGAUAGGCGCUAGGUGGAAGUGCAGUAAUGCAUGCAGCCGAGGCGUACUAAUAGGCCGAUGGC